Molecule: ribosomal RNA, 343 nt
Filed under: Arion owenii
Lineage: Eukaryota; Metazoa; Mollusca; Gastropoda; Stylommatophora; Arionidae
Description: partial 12S ribosomal RNA
Source: RNAcentral
CCUUAAAGUACAAUAAUAUAAUGAGGACUAAUAAGUUUCUAUAAACUCAAACUUUAUGGCGGCAAAUGUAAACUACAGGGGAACUUACUACAUAAAUGAUAAUCACCAAGACAAACUACCUUAACUAAAAAGUUUGUAUACCGUCGUUAUAAAGAGGCCCAUUAAGAGUUUCUAGUAUAUAUUAAACUAUAAGAUAACAGAUCAAGGUGCAACCUAUGCUAAGGUUGUCAGCGAGUUACAAUAAAUAUUAUUUCCCACAUAAGGAUUAAUUAUCCCUAUAAAGAUGGACUUGUAAGUAUAUUAUAUUAUAAUUAAUUAUAGAAUCAUUACACUAUAUUUGUGU